UGCGUUGAGUCUCUUAUUUUAAAAGCUGUUCGUCUGAACUCCAUCAGUGAGUGUGUCUUACUGCCGCUGGCUUCACUCGCCUCGGUUCGCCUGAUUAUUUUUACGCCGUCGAGGCUGGCGGUGAAAUCCAGGUCAUCUCCGCCGGAUCACCUGCCAACACGACUCAGGCUUCUGCUCUCCGCGGACUCAGAGUGCCGUUUCCUGAUCCCACUCUGCAGAGUGAGCUUGCGGUCUGAAGGAUGAGGUGGGGCACAUUGAUUAGCACGCUGCUACGCUGAGAAGAGUUUAUCCACCCAGGACGAGCGGCAGCAACUACACAUUCCCUUCCUGAAUCAGCUAUCAAACACCUUCUCUGAAUCAAGUACCUGUCUGGAUCUUUCCUCGCUCGCUCACACACAGCUAUGGCUGGCUGGCUCUGGCUGGGAGGGUAAUCAGUGCUCUGGUUGCCCUGGCAACCCCGCCCUGAAUUCUACUGAAUAGAGCCCUAGUCUGUCACUAAAGACUUUUUAGCCCCCCCUCCACCUUCUUAGUUUAUUUGCCCUUUCGUGAAGGUAGAGGGCAGCGGCUGGAGCAGGAGCCAUGGACUUAUGAGGUGAGGAUGGCAGCACGGUGGCUGUUUGGCCCCCAGGAGCCCUCAGGCAAUUGGAGCCAAUAACGUGGGUGCACACACAAACAUACGGGCCGAGCGGCAGGAGCAGUAUGCAGGAGGCUGACCUACCGGCCACCAAUGCUUUUACAGAGUGCAGAUUCCUGUGCACUAAUGGCAGAUGUCUGAACCUGGGCUCGCAGGUCUGUGAUCAACUCAACCACUGUGGAGACAACAGUGAUGAGGAGCACUGUCCCAUCUCCACCCAGCAUCCUGCAUCUGCCGUCUUCAGCUGUGAGUCCAUCUCUCUAACACUGCUGCUUCAGACUCAGAUCUGUGUCUGUGUUCUGGUUCUGAUGAAGUCAGCAGGAUGUUUUCUUGCUUCUCAUUGGUCAGUUCUCAUCUGAAUUCCUGAGA
This is a long non-coding RNA of Sinocyclocheilus grahami, 1003 nucleotides long. RefSeq lists it as uncharacterized. The transcript has 3 exons. NCBI's taxonomy places the organism in Eukaryota, Metazoa, Chordata, Actinopteri, Cypriniformes, Cyprinidae. The record is from RefSeq and is a predicted model, not a curated record.